UACGUAGGCAGCAAGCGUUGUUCGGAGUUACUGGGCGUAAAGGGUGUGUAGGCGGCUUUUUAAGUUUGGUGUGAAAUCUCCCGGCUCAACCGGGAGGGUGCGCCGAAUACUGAGAGGCUAGAGUGCGGGAGAGGAAAGUGGAAUUCCUGGUGUAGCGGUGAAAUGCGUAGAUAUCAGGAGGAACACCGGUGGUGUAGACGGCUUUCUGGACCGUAACUGACGCUGAAACACGAAAGCGUGGGUAGCAAACAGG
RNAcentral lists this non-coding RNA (253 nucleotides) under uncultured bacterium. Its description in RNAcentral is "partial 16S ribosomal RNA". It matches the Rfam family "Bacterial small subunit ribosomal RNA", at positions 524 to 776 of the family's 1533-position model. The record is from RNAcentral. RNAcentral also lists the same sequence under 1 other name.